AAUAAGGGAGGUUGAGGAACAAUAUGAUAUUAAUACUUAAUUGCAAACACCUGCCAAAAAUCAUGUUCAAAUUGAAGCUGAAAGUUGUAAGGGAAGAAAGAGAUUCAGUUGUUCCAGGGUACUUAUGAUACUCUUGUUGCUACAUAACCUUAAAUAGGAGUAUAUGGAGGUUGAAAAUUAGGGUAGAGGGAUAGAAAGUAAUUGAAGUUUGUCACAAGGUAGGCUUGGUGGGUACAUAGUGCUAACUUUAUUUUUGUGAUUUCUUGUUCUUCGACUGUUGCUACUACCUGUUGUUUCUUGUGCUUCAUUCCAUUAUUCUGCUCUAUAUGGUACUUUCUU
This 339-nucleotide long non-coding RNA is filed under the name Capsicum annuum. RNAcentral's name for it is "long non-coding RNA (CANN_LNC001597)". Lineage: Eukaryota; Viridiplantae; Streptophyta; Magnoliopsida; Solanales; Solanaceae. The record is from RNAcentral.